UCAUUAUUAUGAAAGUGAGUAUUAGUCUAUUCUUUGAUAGUGUAUUGAUAGCUACCAUUUAAUUGGAGGUUAAUUUUUAUCAUCACACCGAAUAUUAUUUUUAGGCUAUCAUGAAUUAUUUUUAAAAAGUUGGCUGAAAGAAGAGAAGACAUUAUAGUAGUAGAAUCCAACAAAGAAAUUAUAGCAUGGGAGAUAUAGCAAAGCAAUCUCAGAUGGAAACUUAGAUAUAAUACAUCCAACAUCAGAUAGCUAUUGUGCAAGAGUAAAUAGAAGCCUCUAUAAGAAUGAAAGUGACAUCUGUUAGGUUGAAAUUGAACAAGCUCAAUACAUACUUUGGG
This 338-nucleotide long non-coding RNA is filed under the name Physcomitrium patens. RNAcentral's name for it is "long non-coding RNA (PPAT_LNC000185)". Lineage: Eukaryota; Viridiplantae; Streptophyta; Bryopsida; Funariales; Funariaceae. The record is from RNAcentral.